This 93-nucleotide transfer RNA is filed under the name Annulohypoxylon maeteangense. RNAcentral's name for it is "tRNA-Phe". It matches the Rfam family "tRNA". From Rfam's summary of the family: Transfer RNA (tRNA) molecules are approximately 80 nucleotides in length. Lineage: Eukaryota; Fungi; Ascomycota; Sordariomycetes; Xylariales; Hypoxylaceae. The record is from RNAcentral.
GCGGGGUUAGCUCAGCUGGGAGAGCGUCAGACUGAAGUCCAACUUCAGGAUUCUAUAAUCUGAAGGCCGUGCGUUCGAUCCGCACACACCGCA